AGAAGAAGCCAGUCAGCCCACAGCAAAUUGAAAUUCCCUUGAAGAAUCUCCCUUUCUGAGUAAUGACUGUAAAGGCAGCUGAAGUCUUCAGUCCUUUGGCACGCAACAACCAAACACCUGUCACACACCUUCAAACCAGCCUUUGUAGGAGGUGCAAUGUGGGAGAUCUGUGUGUGAGGAUGUAAGAGGGAAAUUAACUGAAAAGGGCCCUGGUGUUCCCCAUCCACCCACCCCACCUCAGCUCUCUGACUCAGGGGCUACAAGGC
Salvelinus sp. IW2-2015 is the source of this 266-nucleotide long non-coding RNA. RefSeq lists it as uncharacterized. The record is from RefSeq and is a predicted model, not a curated record. NCBI's taxonomy places the organism in Eukaryota, Metazoa, Chordata, Actinopteri, Salmoniformes, Salmonidae.